GUGUAAGCCGCCGCGGUAAUACAGAGGGGGCAAGCGUUGUUCGGAAUUACUGGGCGUAAAGGGCGCGUAGGCGGCCGCUUAAGUCAGACGUGAAAUCCCUCGGCUCAACCGGGGAACUGCGUCUGAUACUGAGCGGCUUGAAUCCGGGAGAGGAAUGCGGAAUUCCAGGUGUAGCGGUGAAAUGCGUAGAUAUCUGGAGGAACACCGGUGGCGAAGGCGGCAUUCUGGACCGGCAUUGACGCUGAGGCGCGAAAGCCAGGGGAGCAAACGGGAUUAGAAACCCUAGUAGUCC
Molecule: ribosomal RNA, 292 nt
Filed under: uncultured bacterium
Lineage: Bacteria
Description: partial 16S ribosomal RNA
Rfam family: Bacterial small subunit ribosomal RNA
Source: RNAcentral